Non-coding RNA from Chelonoidis abingdonii (Abingdon island giant tortoise), 1298 nucleotides. Lineage: Eukaryota; Metazoa; Chordata; Testudines; Testudinidae. The record is from RefSeq and is a predicted model, not a curated record.
AUAAUUAAUAUCUGCUCCUUCCUGUGCUAGGAAACACGCAAUCGCUGCACCAACAUUCAGCUCUAUAUUUCCAAGAAAGCCUGAAGCCUGGAGCUAAGAGAGGGGGAGAAAGUCUCUGUUAAGGCACUUGGAAACCUGGCUAUGGGUCAGACCCCAAAAAACCAGCCUCAAUUCUCAUGCUUGCAAUUGGCAGGUGCAAAGAGCUGCAGCUAUAAUUUUGCACCCCUUAGAUGUCUAAGUAUCUGAUUGUGUUCACAAAUAAGUCACAUACUUAUUUUUACUACAGUAGUGCCUAGAGGCAUCAGCCAAGAUCGGGCCCCAUUAUGCCAGGUGCUGCACAUUCUUGUAUUAAGAGACAGUGAUCUAAAUAGAUGAGACAGACAAAAGGUACAAGAAGGGAAGGAUUAUCUUCCUCACAUUACAGGUGGGGACCUGAGGCAUAGAGAGAUUGUGUGACUCAACCAAGGUCACACAAGGAGACUGAGAAAUGAACCCUGAUCAUCUUAGUCUCAGUCCAGUGUGUUAAUCACAAGGCCUUCCAUCUUCUCAUAGUUAGCCUGCCAACAACUUACAUGUACAAUUUUUCAGACAUAAAACUAGUGACUCAUUUAGUGCCAGGCUGAAGAGCAGGGUCUAACUGUUGGUAUUUGCAAUUUCCGUCACAGUAAAUGAGGAGGCGGCAGCAGAGAAUAUGCGCAUUACAAGGAGAAAACCACAACAGAUGGCUCAUUAGUUUGGCAAUAGCUUAUAAAAACUGACACACAGCAAGGCACCUAAGCUCUGCACUACUCUAAUGAGACCUGAGGGUAACGGAAGGAAGCAGCCUGGUCAAAUCCAUCCAUGUCAAGAGGAGGGUUAAGUAUAGGGGGGACAGUAUUGUGGGACUGAGACUCAGGACACCAGGGUUGUAUUCCUGACUCUGCCACCAGGUCACUUUUCAUCUUGGGAAAAUCCCUUCCCCCACUGGGCCUCAGUUUCCCCACAUGUGAAAUGAUGAUAAUAGCUGAUGCAGAGAAGGCUCAGUUUGUUAGAUUUGUGAAGAUGCUGGCUGUUUUUUUAAGAAAUGAAACAUGAAGUGCCAAUUUCACACACAUCCCCGACAGCCACUCUAUUUUACAACUCUACCAACAUGACCCAACUUUGCUUUGCCUUUCUACGCUGUGCUUAAGUCCAAGUGCUAAAUUCAGAGCAUGUUGAAGUGGCACCGGAUUAGGCUGGCAGGCUGUCAGUUUGUAGGUUUGCUGCAGAUAAGUCCAAUGAUACAAGUCUGAUCUGCUAGAUCAAGAGGCUUGAAAUAU